UGGGGGUAAGCUGUAAACUUUUAAUAAUUACAGAACACACGUGAAUUCAGUCGCGUCUCGACAACAAAAACAUCGUUGUUUGUUUUCACUUUCGGUAAAAAACUAGUUACCCUUAAAAAACGAUGUGAUGUUUCUGCCGUACAAAAUUUUGAUUGCCUAUAUGGAAAACGGCAAAGAUAAAAUGUACGAAGUAAGAAAUGUGUAUUUCCGAAUUGGAAUAGUUCUAGGGAUGCUUGCUGCAGUGAUAACCAUAGUAUACUUUACUCCUAUGCCAGAGGAAUAUUUUCUAAGCUGUGAUAGACCUUGCCAUCAUUUAGACUGGCCAAUGAUAUGCCGCGUCAAGAUGAAAAUUGAAAUACUUCAGUAUCAAACUGUUUUUUGCGAAAAUUGUUCAUCAAAUUCAACAUCUUGCCGAUCGAUCUGUUUGAGAAAUAGACUCCAUUCUACAAUUACAACAAAUAAUCAAAUACCUGGACCGGCUCUUCACGUUUGUCAAAAUGAUAUUAUUGUAGUUGAUGUUUUGAAUGCAAUUCCCGGCAAAAGUUUGACACUGCAUUGGAGAGGUCAACCCCAAAACGAAAUGCCCCUCAUGGACGGUGUGCCCAUGAUAACCCAGUGUUCGAUACCGGGUUACACGACUUUUCAGUACAAAUUUAGAGUAACAUCUCCUGGGACGCACAUAUGGCACGCCCAUUCCGGUAGUGAUAUUGCUGAUGGUGUUUUUGGUGCACUUGUAGUUAGACAACCUCACAAAUUUGACUUCCACAAAAAAUUCUAUGAUUACGAUUUAAAAGAGCACACGUUAGUUAUUUCCGAAGGAGGAGAUGAAAAUUCUAUAAAAAAUCAUUAUUCCCCAAGAGCCCUAAUGAUAAACGGCGCAUCCUCCAACUCUGGAAAAGAAACCCAUACUUUUACGGUAAAACAGGGUAAAAGGUACAGGUUCAGAGUUGCAUACGUAGGAGGAUUAUUUAACUGUCCAGUACAAAUAUCUUUAGAUAAUCAUAUCCUCAAGAUUGUAUCGUUGGAUGGUAAUCCUGUGUUACCCUUCGAAGCUUCGUCCAUUGAUUUGAUGAAGGGCGAAAGGGUGGAUUUUAUUGUUAAUGCGAAAGUGAAUGAGGGUAGCCACCUCUUGAGAAUUACUUCGUUGCUGUGCUAUGAAAGUGUACGAGAGGUUAAUGCUCUGGUGAAAUAUAAUAAUGGGGAAGCGACAGGUAACGAAAAUAAGAAACUUAGUAAUCCUUCCUACAUUCGCCCCUCGGCAACGAUUUCGGCUCAAGAACAGAGAAAUUUUUCCACGAGACCAUGCGAAAGCAAAGUAGGUCACCUAUGCGUCGAGACUGCAAAAUCAGCCAGUAAAAUGCCUGCGCAACUCAAGACAGAAAGAGUCGACAGGAAAAUUUAUUUAGCGAUAAACAGGAACACCGAUGCCGGAGGAAACCAAAAGCAAUUACUUUCGACCUCGCGGGUUUAUAGCAUGAACAAUAUCACGUUCGUUUACCCCUCGUCACCCCUGUUAAGUCAAUACGAAGAUAUCCCAGGAAACCUUAAGUGUAAUUUGUAUCGUAAGCCCAGCUCCUGUCUAAACGACACUACAUGUCCGUGUGUGCACAUCGAGGAAAUACCAACCGGAUCGUCUGUGGAAGUUACAAUAAUAGACCAGGUUGGAGAUUCAAAGGAGAACGUAUUCCAUUUGCAUGGAUAUCACUUUUAUGUGGUAGGGUCUACCAACCUGGAAAAGUCGAUGGAGCUUGAAAAUAUUAAAGAAUUAGACUCAAAGGGGAAAUUAUUCAAAAGGAAUCUGGAAAGUCCAGUAUUAAAGGAUACAAUACGAAUACCAAAAUAUGGAGCAGUAUCAUUUAGAUUUAUAGCUGAUAAUCCAGGUGGAGGGCCAAUUUUUGUGAGGGGGUUCGUUGAAAGUGUGACUUAGCAUGAUGAGCAGGGAAGGAGGGGUUCGAAAAGAUGAAAUUUUGACUGACGUAUUUUAUGGACAACCCCUUGGUUUUUGGAUUUUACGUGAUGAAAUGUCCUUAGAAUGGACCAGAGGAAUGGAUGUAGUUUUUCAUAUCGGCUCCUGCUGUGAUAUGCC
Molecule: unclassified non-coding RNA, 2086 nt
Filed under: Agrilus planipennis (emerald ash borer)
Lineage: Eukaryota; Metazoa; Arthropoda; Insecta; Coleoptera; Buprestidae
Description: putative laccase-11, transcript variant X3
Source: RNAcentral